Molecule: long non-coding RNA, 164 nt
Organism: Rhagoletis zephyria (snowberry fruit fly)
Lineage: Eukaryota; Metazoa; Arthropoda; Insecta; Diptera; Tephritidae
Source: RefSeq, a predicted model, not a curated record
AAGAACAAGUUGAAACUGCCAAAACAGUUCACCUUACAGCGAAAAACGUGUUUUAUUUUUGCUAAAUGCGAAAACAUUGCAUUUUUACCUAAUCUAUUCGAGAAUAGGUAACAUUUUAGUGCACUCUAUUGCCUUGCAAUUGAGGCUGCUUCAGCAAACGUUUU